Molecule: ribosomal RNA, 2930 nt
Filed under: Escherichia coli
Lineage: Bacteria; Pseudomonadati; Pseudomonadota; Gammaproteobacteria; Enterobacterales; Enterobacteriaceae
Description: 23S ribosomal RNA
Rfam family: Bacterial large subunit ribosomal RNA
Source: RNAcentral
GGGUUGUGAGGUUAAGCGACUAAGCGUACACGGUGGAUGCCCUGGCAGUCAGAGGCGAUGAAGGACGUGCUAAUCUGCGAUAAGCGUCGGUAAGGUGAUAUGAACCGUUAUAACCGGCGAUUUCCGAAUGGGGAAACCCAGUGUGUUUCGACACACUAUCAUUAACUGAAUCCAUAGGUUAAUGAGGCGAACCGGGGGAACUGAAACAUCUAAGUACCCCGAGGAAAAGAAAUCAACCGAGAUUCCCCCAGUAGCGGCGAGCGAACGGGGAGCAGCCCAGAGCCUGAAUCAGUGUGUGUGUUAGUGGAAGCGUCUGGAAAGGCGCGCGAUACAGGGUGACAGCCCCGUACACAAAAAUGCACAUGCUGUGAGCUCGAUGAGUAGGGCGGGACACGUGGUAUCCUGUCUGAAUAUGGGGGGACCAUCCUCCAAGGCUAAAUACUCCUGACUGACCGAUAGUGAACCAGUACCGUGAGGGAAAGGCGAAAAGAACCCCGGCGAGGGGAGUGAAAAAGAACCUGAAACCGUGUACGUACAAGCAGUGGGAGCACGCUUAGGCGUGUGACUGCGUACCUUUUGUAUAAUGGGUCAGCGACUUAUAUUCUGUAGCAAGGUUAACCGAAUAGGGGAGCCGAAGGGAAACCGAGUCUUAACUGGGCGUUAAGUUGCAGGGUAUAGACCCGAAACCCGGUGAUCUAGCCAUGGGCAGGUUGAAGGUUGGGUAACACUAACUGGAGGACCGAACCGACUAAUGUUGAAAAAUUAGCGGAUGACUUGUGGCUGGGGGUGAAAGGCCAAUCAAACCGGGAGAUAGCUGGUUCUCCCCGAAAGCUAUUUAGGUAGCGCCUCGUGAAUUCAUCUCCGGGGGUAGAGCACUGUUUCGGCAAGGGGGUCAUCCCGACUUACCAACCCGAUGCAAACUGCGAAUACCGGAGAAUGUUAUCACGGGAGACACACGGCGGGUGCUAACGUCCGUCGUGAAGAGGGAAACAACCCAGACCGCCAGCUAAGGUCCCAAAGUCAUGGUUAAGUGGGAAACGAUGUGGGAAGGCCCAGACAGCCAGGAUGUUGGCUUAGAAGCAGCCAUCAUUUAAAGAAAGCGUAAUAGCUCACUGGUCGAGUCGGCCUGCGCGGAAGAUGUAACGGGGCUAAACCAUGCACCGAAGCUGCGGCAGCGACGCUUAUGCGUUGUUGGGUAGGGGAGCGUUCUGUAAGCCUGUGAAGGUGUGCUGUGAGGCAUGCUGGAGGUAUCAGAAGUGCGAAUGCUGACAUAAGUAACGAUAAAGCGGGUGAAAAGCCCGCUCGCCGGAAGACCAAGGGUUCCUGUCCAACGUUAAUCGGGGCAGGGUGAGUCGACCCCUAAGGCGAGGCCGAAAGGCGUAGUCGAUGGGAAACAGGUUAAUAUUCCUGUACUUGGUGUUACUGCGAAGGGGGGACGGAGAAGGCUAUGUUGGCCGGGCGACGGUUGUCCCGGUUUAAGCGUGUAGGCUGGUUUUCCAGGCAAAUCCGGAAAAUCAAGGCUGAGGCGUGAUGACGAGGCACUACGGUGCUGAAGCAACAAAUGCCCUGCUUCCAGGAAAAGCCUCUAAGCAUCAGGUAACAUCAAAUCGUACCCCAAACCGACACAGGUGGUCAGGUAGAGAAUACCAAGGCGCUUGAGAGAACUCGGGUGAAGGAACUAGGCAAAAUGGUGCCGUAACUUCGGGAGAAGGCACGCUGAUAUGUAGGUGAAGUCCCUUGCGGAUGGAGCUGAAAUCAGUCGAAGAUACCAGCUGGCUGCAACUGUUUAUUAAAAACACAGCACUGUGCAAACACGAAAGUGGACGUAUACGGUGUGACGCCUGCCCGGUGCCGGAAGGUUAAUUGAUGGGGUCAGCGCAAGCGAAGCUCUUGAUCGAAGCCCCGGUAAACGGCGGCCGUAACUAUAACGGUCCUAAGGUAGCGAAAUUCCUUGUCGGGUAAGUUCCGACCUGCACGAAUGGCGUAAUGAUGGCCAGGCUGUCUCCACCCGAGACUCAGUGAAAUUGAACUCGCUGUGAAGAUGCAGUGUACCCGCGGCAAGACGGAAAGACCCCGUGAACCUUUACUAUAGCUUGACACUGAACAUUGAGCCUUGAUGUGUAGGAUAGGUGGGAGGCUUUGAAGUGUGGACGCCAGUCUGCAUGGAGCCGACCUUGAAAUACCACCCUUUAAUGUUUGAUGUUCUAACGUUGACCCGUAAUCCGGGUUGCGGACAGUGUCUGGUGGGUAGUUUGACUGGGGCGGUCUCCUCCUAAAGAGUAACGGAGGAGCACGAAGGUUGGCUAAUCCUGGUCGGACAUCAGGAGGUUAGUGCAAUGGCAUAAGCCAGCUUGACUGCGAGCGUGACGGCGCGAGCAGGUGCGAAAGCAGGUCAUAGUGAUCCGGUGGUUCUGAAUGGAAGGGCCAUCGCUCAACGGAUAAAAGGUACUCCGGGGAUAACAGGCUGAUACCGCCCAAGAGUUCAUAUCGACGGCGGUGUUUGGCACCUCGAUGUCGGCUCAUCACAUCCUGGGGCUGAAGUAGGUCCCAAGGGUAUGGCUGUUCGCCAUUUAAAGUGGUACGCGAGCUGGGUUUAGAACGUCGUGAGACAGUUCGGUCCCUAUCUGCCGUGGGCGCUGGAGAACUGAGGGGGCUGCUCCUAGUACGAGAGGACCGGAGUGGACGCAUCACUGGUGUUCGGGUUGUCAUGCCAAUGGCACUGCCCGGUAGCUAAAUGCGGAAGAGAUAAGUGCUGAAAGCAUCUAAGCACGAAACUUGCCCCGAGAUGAGUUCUCCCUGACCCUUUAAGGGUCCUGAAGGAACGUUGAAGACGACGACGUUGAUAGGCCGGGUGUGUAAGCGCAGCGAUGCGUUGAGCUAACCGGUACUAAUGAACCGUGAGGCUUAACCUUACAACGCCGAAGGUGUUU